This 200-nucleotide ribosomal RNA is filed under the name uncultured bacterium. RNAcentral's name for it is "partial 16S ribosomal RNA". It matches the Rfam family "Bacterial small subunit ribosomal RNA", at positions 8 to 212 of the family's 1533-position model. The record is from RNAcentral.
AGAGUUUGAUCAUGGCUCAGAUUGAACGCUAGCGGCAUGCUUAACACAUGCAAGUCGAACGGUAACAGGCCUAGCUUGCUAGGCGCUGACGAGUGGCGGACGGGUGAGUAACGCGUAGGAAUCUACCUCAUAGUGGGGAACAACCUGGGGAAACUCAGGCUAAUACCGCAUGAGCCUAAGGGGGAAAGCAGGGGACCGUA